This 253-nucleotide ribosomal RNA is filed under the name uncultured bacterium. RNAcentral describes it as "partial 16S ribosomal RNA". It matches the Rfam family "Bacterial small subunit ribosomal RNA", at positions 524 to 776 of the family's 1533-position model. The record is from RNAcentral.
UACGUAGGGUGCAAGCGUUAAUCGGAAUUACUGGGCGUAAAGCGUGCGCAGGCGGUUGUGCAAGACAGAUGUGAAAUCCCCGGGCUUAACCUGGGAAUGGCAUUUGUGACUGCACGGCUAGAGUGUGUCAGAGGGGGGUGGAAUUCCACGUGUAGCAGUGAAAUGCGUAGAGAUGUGGAGGAACACCGAUGGCGAAGGCAGCCCCCUGGGCUAACACUGACGCUCAUGCACGAAAGCGUGGGGAGCAAACAGG